RNAcentral lists this transfer RNA (72 nucleotides) under Oryza glumipatula. It matches the Rfam family "tRNA". From Rfam's summary of the family: Transfer RNA (tRNA) molecules are approximately 80 nucleotides in length. Their secondary structure includes four short double-helical elements and three loops (D, anti-codon, and T loops). Further hydrogen bonds mediate the characteristic L-shaped molecular structure. tRNAs have two regions of fundamental functional importance: the anti-codon, which is responsible for specific mRNA codon recognition, and the 3' end, to which the tRNAs corresponding amino acid is attached (by aminoacyl-tRNA synthetases). tRNAs cope with the degeneracy of the genetic code in two manners: having more than one tRNA (with a specific anti-codon) for a particular amino acid; and 'wobble' base-pairing, i.e. permitting non-standard base-pairing at the 3rd anti-codon position. The record is from Rfam by way of RNAcentral. Lineage: Eukaryota; Viridiplantae; Streptophyta; Magnoliopsida; Poales; Poaceae.
CCCGUCUAGCUCAGUCGGUAGAGCGCAAGGCUCUUAACCUUGUGGUCGUGGGUUCGAGCCCCCCACGGUGGG